CUCGUUCUCGAGUGGUUGCGCUUCAAUUUUCGCUUCACGCUCGCGAGGCAUGCACGACUUACCGGCAUGUCUUUUAACGAAUCGCCGGCCCGAGGGAUCGGCAGUUGCCACUUUGAAGACGCGCCACCGGCGCGCACCACGUCCUCGGAUUUACCGCCGCGAAACCCAGCUGCGCCGUGCCGCCCCCAGGGAUCUUGCCGUCAGCGUGGGUCAACUCAGCCUGCUGGGACCUCGGAUGUUGCGAGUAGGAUCCUGGUGGAGCUACACCCUCUCACUCCGAGCAAGCUGCUUUCCCUUUUCGAACGUCCAGGGACAAUGAUGUCCGACCUCCGGCCGAGCGAACAAGCGC
RNAcentral lists this unclassified non-coding RNA (349 nucleotides) under Bombus terrestris (buff-tailed bumblebee). RNAcentral's name for it is "misc RNA ENSBTSG00005034051.1". Lineage: Eukaryota; Metazoa; Arthropoda; Insecta; Hymenoptera; Apidae. The record is from RNAcentral.